CCCUUAGAUGUCCGGGGCUGCACGCGCGCUACACUGAAGGAAUCAGCGUGCUAAAACCAUUGUCGAAAGGCAUUGGUAAACCCAUUAAAAUCCUACGUGAUUGGGAUCGGGAAUUGCAAUUAUUUCCCUUGAACGAGGAAUUCCCAGUAAGUGUGGGUCAUAAGCUCGCGUUGAUUACGUCCCUGCCCUUUGUACACACCGCCCGUCGCUGCCCGGGACUGAGCCGUUUCGAGAAAAGCGGGGACUGCUGCUGUCGGGGCUUUCGGGCCUUGACUUCGGUGGAAACCGCUUUAAUCGCAGUGGCUUGAACCGGGCAAAAGUCGUANCA
RNAcentral lists this ribosomal RNA (328 nucleotides) under uncultured eukaryote. Its description in RNAcentral is "partial 18S ribosomal RNA". It matches the Rfam family "Eukaryotic small subunit ribosomal RNA", at positions 1470 to 1796 of the family's 1831-position model. The record is from RNAcentral.